This 72-nucleotide transfer RNA is filed under the name Fukomys damarensis (Damara mole-rat). It matches the Rfam family "tRNA". From Rfam's summary of the family: Transfer RNA (tRNA) molecules are approximately 80 nucleotides in length. Their secondary structure includes four short double-helical elements and three loops (D, anti-codon, and T loops). Lineage: Eukaryota; Metazoa; Chordata; Mammalia; Rodentia; Bathyergidae. The record is from Rfam by way of RNAcentral.
UGAGGUGUAGAUCAAUGGUAGGGUGCUUACCUGGCAUGUGUAAGACCAUGGGUUCAAACCCUAGCACUUCAA